GUAGGGGGAGGUUGGCGGUAUCACUGGUACUGUGGAAAUGGCUGCCAGCAGUACCAGACAUGCCGCCCCUCUCCCCCUACAA
Molecule: non-coding RNA, 82 nt
Organism: Eptesicus fuscus (big brown bat)
Lineage: Eukaryota; Metazoa; Chordata; Mammalia; Chiroptera; Vespertilionidae
Product: microRNA mir-9186k
Source: RefSeq, marked provisional